Molecule: ribosomal RNA, 791 nt
Filed under: uncultured bacterium
Lineage: Bacteria
Description: bacterial SSU rRNA
Rfam family: Bacterial small subunit ribosomal RNA
Source: RNAcentral
AGAGUUUGAUCCUGGCUCAGAUUGAACGCUGGCGGCAUGCCUUACACAUGCAAGUCGAACGGCAGCGCGGGGGCAACCCUGGCGGCGAGUGGCGAACGGGUGAGUAAUACAUCGGAACGUGUCCUGGAGUGGGGGAUAGCUCGGCGAAAGCCGGAUUAAUACCGCAUACGCUCUAAGGAGGAAAGCGGGGGAUCUUCGGACCUCGCGCUCAAGGGGCGGCCGAUGGCGGAUUAGCUAGUUGGUGGGGUAAAGGCCUACCAAGGCGACGAUCCGUAGCUGGUCUGAGAGGACGACCAGCCACACUGGGACUGAGACACGGCCCAGACUCCUACGGGAGGCAGCAGUGGGGAAUUUUGGACAAUGGGGGAAACCCUGAUCCAGCAAUGCCGCGUGUGUGAAGAAGGCCUUCGGGUUGUAAAGCACUUUUGUUCGGGAAGAAAUCCUUCGAGCUAAUACCUUGAGGGGAUGACGGUACCGGAAGAAUAAGCACCGGCUAACUACGUGCCAGCAGCCGCGGUAAUACGUAGGGUGCGAGCGUUAAUCGGAAUUACUGGGCGUAAAGCGUGCGCAGGCGGUUCGCUAAGACCGAUGUGAAAUCCCCGGGCUUAACCUGGGAACUGCAUUGGUGACUGGCGGGCUAGAGUAUGGCAGAGGGGGGUAGAAUUCCACGUAGCAGUGAAAUGCGUAGAGAUGUGGAGGAAUACCGAUGGCGAAGGCAGCCCCCUGGGCCAAUACUGACGCUCAUGCACGAAAGCGUGGGGAGCAAACAGGAUUAGAUACCCCGGUAGUCC